UUGCGAAAAUUUUUCAAUGCGCGCAAGCGUGAAAAAGCAAACCAGAGUGCGUUCUUUUUAAGAACGCUUUUAUUUGCUGUAAAAAAGCAGAUGAAUAAGGAGUGGGCAAGACUGGUGCCAGCCGCCGCGGUAAUACCAGCGCUCCAAGUGGCAGCCACAAUUAUUGGGUCUAAAACAUUCGUAGCCUGUUAUGAAAGUUUCUUGUUAAACGUUACAGCUUAACUGUAGCACUGCGAGAAAAACUACAUGACUAGGGACCGGUAGAUGUAAGAAGAACAAUUAAGGAAAUGGUAAAAUAUUCUAAUCUUGAUUGGACUAACAAUGGCGAAGGCAUCUUACAAGCACGGAUCCGACGGUGAGGAAUGAAAGCUAGGGGCGCAAAAUGGAUUAGAUACCCCCGUAGUCCCUGAGCGGGCUGGCAAGGCGCAU
This 429-nucleotide ribosomal RNA is filed under the name uncultured bacterium. RNAcentral describes it as "bacterial SSU rRNA". It matches the Rfam family "Archaeal small subunit ribosomal RNA", at positions 339 to 776 of the family's 1478-position model. The record is from RNAcentral.